This is a long non-coding RNA of Bombus pyrosoma, 2749 nucleotides long. RefSeq lists it as uncharacterized. The record is from RefSeq and is a predicted model, not a curated record. Lineage: Eukaryota; Metazoa; Arthropoda; Insecta; Hymenoptera; Apidae. The transcript is spliced from 5 exons.
AAUGACAACGUGAGUUCGCACUCGUCAGCCAUAUGCAGAUGCCCUAGUUACAAUAAAUAGUAACUAGAAAAUAGUUCUAGAUAUAAUCGAUAGAUUUAAUCGAUAGGUUUAAGAUAUUCUUUUGUUUUUAUCCCUAGUCCAUGUAAAGAAAGUGCGAUGAAGGUUUUUCAGUUCAGGACGGUGUGAUAGAUUUAUCCGAAGAAUAAACUAAUAGCUAUUGUGAUCCUACCUGUAAAUACAGAAAUAACAACAGUAUAAGUAUAAUGUAUAAGUUUAUGCUGAUUCAGAUCCUUACUCUCUUAGUGUUACUAGACGAUGGAAUGAUAGGGAGCACGUUCAUAUAUUUAUAACAAGAGGACAUUACCAAAAAAAGUAGCAGUCUCCAGAUCACGGAUGUACAUAAAUAAAGAUGUAGAGUUUUUCUUGAAGCAUUUACUUCAACAAAAAUGAAUAAUCGCGUAGCCAAGGAAUAAAAUGGACAAGUUUACGUAUAAAAACAAAGUUGAUCAGUUAUAGAUAGACAUAUGGAAUGAGAAAGUAGAUCGAAGAACCAAAAAUGUAGUCAUCAUGAAACAGAUCAUCUUUCGACAAAUUUCGUCAGCGUUCCAGAGAAAAUGAUUGAACAACUAAAUUUUUCCUAACAAUUAAAAAUGUGCAAGCUUAGAAAAAAGAAAUUUAUUACGCCACAUUGUUAAGAAAUAAAUGGUACGAUACAUCUAACGAUGACAAGUUACGGAUCGUGUUCUUCCUGGUGAAUGCAAAUUUAUUCAAUGAGAAGCAGCCAACCGUGUUUAAGUGUUCGUUUUAUGCACACUGUUUGACAAUGACAAUCUAUUUUACAGCGUUCUCGUUAUCAAUACAUAAACGACACAUCUUUUCUACGAGAAAAAGCUUCCGCUUUCCUAACUGCUAUUACGAAUCAGCAUUUUUUAAUGCUUAUGAUUGAUCCUCGAUUUUUACCCAACAAUUCCUACCGGUUCUCGAGACAUUCGAUCUGAAAUAUUUUUCAAAGGUUUUGUCGGUUCUGUGGUAAUCAGAUCUGCCUGUUUCGAAAAUACUGUUUUGAGAGAAACAGUUUUCGAAAUCGUUGUACAAUCGGAAAAUUGUUCACGUGAAAGUAAAUCGAAAAUAUAUAUUUUCCCAUAUAUAUCAUCGAGAGUUAAAAUUUUUCCCACAGAGCUCCGUUCUCGAGAAAAUUAAGUUUGAAUAUUCGUCGAGUAUUUCUCUAUAUGCAUUCCACGCUCUGUUUCCUUUCUCCUACAUUCCCAAUAUUCCAUAUCCUGCAUAUAUCUUGACACAUAUAAUCCAAAUAAACACAAAAGAAUAUGGUUCUAAAUAAAGAAGAUAUAUUUAUAGCACAAAAUGCAGACGACAAAUUGGUCACAGGAAAUCGUCAUUUCGCAGGAACAAAAUUUGCUAUCUCGUAAGCUGAAAUUCGUCUUCGCCCCUAGUGUCAUUUCGUUGGCCACAUUUCAGCGAGUGACAUCGGUUAGGUAGUCGAAGCGACUGGGAAAUCAUCGCUUUGGGAAUUCUAAUUUAGCAAGCUGGAAUAAUUAUCGGACUAGUCUGUACCACUAGUGUGGAAAACUAUGUGUGGAACACGAGAUAAAGGAGAGAAGGAAACGAUAUAACGAAUGAUUUUUAAUAAACAUAUUAUUUAUUUAAUUUUUAUAUAAUAUAUAAUCAUCGAUACUUUUAGUUUGCAUUUUUAAUCCAAUCAUAUCGAUGUAACGUUACGCAGUGGAGAAGGAUGCAUUUAUAGAACGCAUUUUCAUAGAACAAAUAUCUGAAUCUAAGAUAUAUAAGGCACAAUUGUUGUAUCUUAUUAUUCUCGAAUAAAAAUAAUUGACUUAUUUCAUCGUCGCAAUUUAACACGUCUGUAUAAUUUUUCUUUUUUUUUUUUUCUUUUUUCUUUUUGUCGAAUGAAUAAUAUCUAUUGUAUAUCAUUCAAAGACGAAACGAGACUGUAUAUAAUAAGUACACGCUACAUCGUACCAACCCCCAUCUGACAAAGAAACUGUUUAAACGAUUAGAAACACUUUUUCCCUCUUUCCAUCUAAUUGAGCUAGUUUAGAAAUCGUUUGCGAGUAGAAGAUCAAGACGACGCGCAACUUCUUCCUUCGGAAGAAUUUACAAUUUUUCCUUAUAAUUAUUUGGUUCUUCGUUGCAAGUCGCGAAAUUUACAAAGAUAAUUGACGAAACCUGAUUUAUUUUACGUUGCUUGAUCGAUAUGAGAACUUGCGUUUGUAUUCUAUUCUAUCAAGAAAUUUUAUUUGUAUUUCGACCAACACGUUGUACAUUUUGACCUUUUUACACGUGAUAGAAAUUAGUUAAACGAAUACCAUAAAUAAUCACUUUAAUAUUCAUGUGGCAAAAAAUUCGUACGAUGACGAAUAAAAGAAGUUUCAUUGUCACGGUGUUUCGCACGUUUUUAAUGAAAUUUCUUCUUCAAAAUAACAGAUAUGUAUACCAAAGUUAUUUAGAAUGAAGAUGGAAACGCGUAAGGGGUUUACAUUCAAACAACGUUCUAUAUAUUAACUUCUGGCUGAACUCUGUGAAAAUACUUUCAGCCAGGGAAGACGUGUUUUUAUGUUUAAUCGUAAAUUACGCUAUUCGUUUCAAGAUUUUCACGUCGCGGGUUUCACUACGUCUACGAUACGCUUUAUUACUCUAUUCGUUUAAGUAGAUAAGGAUUUAAUCGAUAAUCAUCGAAAUUCAUCAAAUGGAACAAUCAAUGUAACAGUACAAA